Molecule: ribosomal RNA, 495 nt
Filed under: uncultured soil bacterium
Lineage: Bacteria
Description: bacterial SSU rRNA
Rfam family: Bacterial small subunit ribosomal RNA
Source: RNAcentral
AGAACGAACGUUAGCGGCGCGCUUAACACAUGCAAGUCGAGCGAGAAAGGGCUUCGGCCCCGGUAAAGCGGCGCACGGGUGAGUAACACGUAGGUAAUCUGCCUCUUGGCGGUGGAUAACCUUCCGAAAGGAGGGCUAAUACAGCAUAAGACCACGCGGUCGUGAGAUCGUGGGGUAAAAGCCGGCCUCUUCAUGAAAGCUGGCACCGAGAGAUGAGCCUGCGGCCCAUCAGCUAGUUGGUAGGGUAAUGGCCUACCAAGGCGAAGACGGGUAGCUGGUCUGAGAGGAUGAUCAGCCACACUGGAACUGAGACACGGUCCAGACUCCUACGGGAGGCAGCAGUGGGAAUCUGCGCAAUGGGCGAAAGCCUGACGCAGCGACGCCGCGUGAGUGAUGAAGCCUUCGGUGUAAAGCUCUGUGGAGGGGACGAAGUAAGGGCGUUCGAAGUAGACGCACGAUGACGUACCCCGUUAGCGAAGCACCGCUAACUCGUGU